UCAGGCCUAACACAUGCAAGUCGAGCGAGACCUUCGGGUCUAGCGGCGGACGGGUGCGUAACGCGUGGGAACGUGCCCUUUGGUUCGGAAUAGCCCUGGGAAACUGGGAGUAAUACCGGAUGAGCCCUACGGGGGAAAGAUUUAUCGCCGAAGGAUCGGCCCGCGUUGGAUUAGGUAGUUGGUGGGGUAAUGGCCUACCAAGCCGACGAUCCAUAGCUGGUUUGAGAGGAUGAUCAGCCACACUGGGACUGAGACACGGCCCAGACUCCUACGGGAGGCAGCAGUGGGGAAUCUUAGACAGUGGGGGAAACCCUGAUCUAGCCAUGCCGCGUGAGAGAAGGAGGCCUUAGGGUUGUAAAGCUCUUCAGCUGGAAGAUAAUG
RNAcentral lists this ribosomal RNA (381 nucleotides) under uncultured bacterium. RNAcentral describes it as "bacterial SSU rRNA". It matches the Rfam family "Bacterial small subunit ribosomal RNA", at positions 42 to 451 of the family's 1533-position model. The record is from RNAcentral.